UUGGUUAGGAUUUGAUUUAGGAUUAGAAUUUGGUUAGGAUUUGAUUUAAGAUUACAAUUUGAUUUAGGAUUUAGGAUUUAGUUAGGAUUUAGUUAGGAUUUGGUUUAGGAUUUAGAAUUUAGUUAGGGUUUGAUUUAGGAUUUAGGAUUUGAUUUAGGAUUUAGGAUUUGAUUUAGGAUUUAAGGUUUCAUUAGGAUUUGAUUUAGGAUUUAUGAUUUGAUUUAGGAUUUAAGGUUUCAUUAGGAUUUGGUUUAGGAUUUAAGAUUUGAUUAGGAUUUGAUUAGGAUUUGAUUUAGAGUUUAGAGUUUGGUUAGGAUUUGAUUUAGGAUUGGAAUUUGGUUAGGAUUUGAUUUAGGAUUAGGAUUUAGUUAGGAGUUAAUUUAGAGUUUAGGAUUUGGUUAGGAUUUAAUUUAGGAUUUAAGAUUUUAUUAGGAUUUAUUUAAGAUUUAAGAUUUAGUUCAUUUUUGGCCUAAAGUUUGAAUGAAGUCCAAGAGGAUUUUAAGUAGGAUUAAAUUAAGAUUGAAUUGAGAUGUAUUUGAGAUAUAUUUGUGAUCAUUUUAAUUUUUCUUUAAGAUUUUAUAUUGUUUCUUUAUAAUUCCUUUGAGUUUUUUUUGAAUUUGAUUAAAGCUUAUUUAGCAUUGUUAGUAUUCUAUUAGAAUUAGGAUUUUAUUGUUGUAAUUUCUAUUCUACCUUCUACAGCCAGGUGCCUAGAGCAUUUUCAAGCAAGACUUCACGUAUUAUGACAAGGGCAGGUUCAUAAU
This 761-nucleotide long non-coding RNA is filed under the name Physcomitrium patens. RNAcentral describes it as "long non-coding RNA (PPAT_LNC010085)". Lineage: Eukaryota; Viridiplantae; Streptophyta; Bryopsida; Funariales; Funariaceae. The record is from RNAcentral.